GACGAACGCUGGCGGCGUGCCUAAUACAUGCAAGUCGAGCGAGCUUGCCUAGAUGAUUUUAGUGCUUGCACUAAAUGAAACUAGAUACAAGCGAGCGGCGGACGGGUGAGUAACACGUGGGUAACCUGCCCAAGAGACUGGGAUAACCCCUGGAAACAGAUGCUAAUACCGGAUAACAACACUAGACGCAUGUCUAGAGUUUGAAAGAUGGUUCUGCUAUCACUCUUGGAUGGACCUGCGGUGCAUUAGCUAGUUGGAAAGGUAACGGCUUACCAAGGCAAUGAUGCAUAGCCGAGUUGAGAGACUGAUCGGCCACAUUGGGACUGAGACACGGCCCAAACUCCUACGGGAGGCAGCAUUAGGGAAUCUUCCUCAAUGGACGAAAAGUCUGAUGGAGCAACGCCGCGUGAAUUGAAGAAGGGUUUCGGCUCGUAAAGCUCUGUUGGUAGUGAAGAAAGAUAGAGGUAGUAACUGGCCUUUAUUUGACGGUAAUUACUUAGAAAAGUCACGGUCUAACUAC
RNAcentral lists this ribosomal RNA (520 nucleotides) under uncultured bacterium. RNAcentral describes it as "bacterial SSU rRNA". It matches the Rfam family "Bacterial small subunit ribosomal RNA", at positions 28 to 504 of the family's 1533-position model. The record is from RNAcentral.